AAAUCCAAAUAAUACUAAAUUGUCUAUUCUAGUCAUAAAUAUUCCUUUGUGAUAUCUCAGAUGUUAAAAUGUUUACUCAAUAUGCUAUGCAAGUUUAAUAUGUCCCCCUUUAUAGUGCUGUACAGCCAAAGGUUUGGAACUUACUCAAGUGACCGUGGUUGAUCCUAGCCUCCAGGUGGUCUAUGAUACAUUUGUGAAACCAGAUGAAGAAGUCAUUGACUAUAACACCAGGUUUUCUGGUGUUGAAGAUGACCUGAGGAACACUAGAAUAUCGAUCCAGAUGUCCAAGCCACCCUGUUGAACCUGUUCAGUGCUGACACUGUACUAAUUGGACAUAGCUUUGAACAGAGUCUGUAUGCUCUUAAGCUAAUUCCUAUUUCAGUUGUGGACGAGACAGUUCUGUAUCUUCAUCGGCGAGGUUUGCCUCACAAAAGAUCCCUCGCGUCUAGUGGCUGACCACCUGCAGAGAAUCAUUCAGGACUGUGUAAGAGCCUGUUCACUCAUGAUUAAUAUCAGGAUCCUAAGUCUGACUUGAGUAAACAAACCAUGGGAUUCGUGGUAAAAGCUUUGCUCCCUGAAAUGCUUAAGGUAGGUUUUUCUUUACGGAUUCCCUGCUAGGGUGGAGAACCCUAAAGCAUCUGCGUAUGUAGACACCACUCAAAUGCCCCCCGCCUGGUGUCAUCCUGGAUCUUCCACAGGCAUCAGAACAGCCAGGCCACAGAGAAUGGUGGCCAGGUCGCUGUUCAGCAAGUUGCCUGGUCUUGGAGUUCAUGUAUAAAACUUCAAUUGGUGUGGAGGUCUAAUUCCAGUCUAAAUUUUGCUGGGUACCUCUUUUCAUACCAGUUUUUCAUUAAAUGAGGUUCCAAAAUGUACUGGGGUCAGGUCAUCUCACCCAGAGUACAUUGUGUGUGUUGUGUUAGAAAAACUACUGUUUAAAUUCAAUAGAUUUCAUCAUAUGUGCAUGUGAUUUGUACUGGCUUGGUGUGUAUCUUGCUCUCAUAACAUCUUGUUUUUUUCUGAUGAAAUACACCCAACAGUAAACAAGUUAGUCAAGUACAUCGAGUAUAGCUACAACUACCCUGUUAGUGGCGUUGCCAUACGCACAGUUGUGCAGUAUCUGCCUUGGAAGGGAGGUUACUCUGUACAUUCACACAUACCCAUGUAGGCUCCUCUUUGGCACAAUAGAGAAUUCUAAGAAAACUAAAUUCUGCCUAUUUUAAAAUUUGUUACAGUGCUGUGUUUCUAAAGAUAACUAAGACAUGGGAAGGCCCUCUGACCGUGUCAUUAAUUGUACAACAUACCAGCUGUACCCUAUGGUCUUUAUUCUUUGAUUCUUUGUCUGUUAGACACUACUGCUGCCUCACAGUGGGUCUUUAUCUGUUUUGCUAAAAAUAUAUCUCAAAAAAUUCCCACAAUAUUCUAUUAUCAAAUGUAAUGUGUUCUAUUGAAAACCGUCUUGAACCUUAGACAGGAAAAUAUUUCACUUAGCAAAAAACAGCUUAUAUAAACAUAUACUACCCCAUUUUUUCCAGAAUAACACAAAUGAAAUGUUUGGCUUUUUGCCAGAUCUUUUACGAAUACCUCCCUCUUUGUUGUUUUCUGGAAAAGCGGUUUACAGAGAAGGUAGCAAUGUGCUAUCUUGUCACAGCAAGGUAGUGACAAUGUGCGGAGAGCCUCUGUAGGAAAAGGGAGUGUUUGCUAAUCUAGAUUUAUGUAUAAUCUUUACAAAGCAUUCAGAAUCAUGUGUUGGUAAGUGCCCAGUGUUAAUUUUUUAUAAACAUGAACUCAAGGCUUUGUUUUGAGAACCGCUGUGGGUAGUAUCAUGGAUACAGUCAUUGUGGGUCUAACACAUUGUCUUCUAUUCUGUCAUGUUUGGAGGUCAUAGUUCAAGUGAAAAUACAACCGCCUAGAUGGAACUAGUCCUCUGGAAGGUGAAAGAAGACCUGAAAGGAAAGGAGUGAUCGCUCUGCCCGAGCAGAUCUUAAAUCCCUGCAGUGUGGUUUCAGGGACGCCUCUGCGGCUGGCAUUAGAGUUGGGUCUAUGACGGUAGAAAGUUUCUUGACCUUUUUCUUCAAUUUCCACGGUUCAUUUCUAAAGUUGUGAGUGGGGCAGGGGGCGGUUAAUGGGGAGGAUUAAGUUGCUUUGAAUUUUCAACUCCUCUUGAUGGAUCUAGGGUGACAGGUUUACAAAGGAGUACGGUUUACAGUUGAGCAGUGACCUCCUCAAGGGUCACGUCUCUGGUUACGUACAUUUCUUUCUCUCCAAAUACCGAAAACUAUCAUUACCUAACACAUUUUUUUAAGGUCUCAUAUAUCAAUAGAUUUUCCUCACAAAGUAAAUGUAAACUUUUCAGUGUACUCUGUUAACAUAAAGCUUUGGGUCAUUUGGCUGUUGGGUAAUGUUUGUAUUCUAACUGGUGUACUGUGACUGGAUUUUAAUUCACAACUUAUUUUUUUCAGGCAGUGUCCUAGGGAUCUUCUGAACACACUAACCUGUGUUCUCAGUUCCGGACUGUCUCAUUCCUUUGAGGGGUUAGCUCCAUCUUUCUUGCUUUCUCAUUAUGGGCAAGUACCUGACCUGAUUCAGUUUGAUUACCCUUGAGUACGAAUCUUCAGUAUUAAUGUUGCUAACAUGCUACAAAAUUACAAAGGUUUCACUGCCAAUAGUACAGGAGAGUCAGAGCAAUUAAUAGGAGGGCCUCUGGUGGGAAGUACACCUGCUACCUUCUGACGGUUGCUUGUGAGGAGAUGCCCUCAAAUGUACGUCAGUUUGGCUGCCUUCGUGUUGUGACUUACAAGUAACUCAGUGAUGCCUGAACAUUUUUUUCUUGCUGUCCCAGGUACUUCUCAGCCAUCUCUCUUGUCAUGUACUUGAUGUAAAGUAAAAUAAUACAAAUUUUGAUCAUUAUGAAUUUAAGUAAUAUGUAAUGAAGAAAGUCAGACUAUUGGAGGGGGGGAAGAUUUGUUCCAAUGCCAUAUGCAAUGAAGGGAUUAUCUGCAUUUUCAGGUCCUCCUUGCUCAGUUCCAUGUACUUUCAAACCAGGGGCUGUCAGAAUUAUCUCCACAACAUGUGGUAAAAAGCCCAAGGAGCCAGUGCAGAUACCUGGACCUGUCAAGGGCUCUUCCCCGCGUUUCCGGCUGCUGACUCGGUCUGCUAGCAGCCUUGCAUGUGCGCUCUCCACUGGAGAACGCCGUUGGGAACAAGGGGCCCUGCUAUCGUCUCUGAACACACGAGGUGGACCAAGUGGCAGGAACAGGGAACUUUAUGCUCUGUGUCGACCGAUUUCACACUAUCCCAGUUAAG
Long non-coding RNA from Enhydra lutris kenyoni (northern sea otter), 3303 nucleotides. RefSeq lists it as uncharacterized. NCBI's taxonomy places the organism in Eukaryota, Metazoa, Chordata, Mammalia, Carnivora, Mustelidae. The record is from RefSeq and is a predicted model, not a curated record. The transcript has 3 exons.